AACCCAAAAAUUUCAGAUUUCGGGUUGGCAAAACUUUAUGAUGACAAAAAGACUCAUAUAAACACUCGUGUUGCAGGCACAAUGUAAGAUCCUCAAAAUUGAGGAUGUGUCAUAUUGUUUUACUCCUUUCCUAUAGUUUUGUUUCAUGAAUCUAGUGCAUAUUUUCUUGUAGAGGGUAUCUUGCACCAGAAUAUGCCAUGCGCGGACAUUUGACAGAAAAGCACUCCUUACCUAUAGUUUUGUUUCAUGAAUCUAGUGCAUAUUUUCUUGUAGAGGGUAUCUUGCACCAGAAUAUGCGAUGCGCGGACAU
RNAcentral lists this long non-coding RNA (310 nucleotides) under Nicotiana benthamiana. Its description in RNAcentral is "long non-coding RNA (NBEN_LNC038468)". Lineage: Eukaryota; Viridiplantae; Streptophyta; Magnoliopsida; Solanales; Solanaceae. The record is from RNAcentral.